UAUGAAUAUUAACAUCUUACUUAAUUUUAUAUUUGCAAUAUAGAAUUUAUAUUUAUUUCAUCAAUGUUUUAUUUUUCUCAAUUAUUGUGCAUUAAAAAAUCUAAAUACAAUAAAAAUAAUAAAAUAUAAAUGAUAAGUUGAAUGAUUGUAUACAAUUGAGUUAACAUGUUUCACAUAUUUAUGUAAUAAAUGAAGCAUGUAAUUCUCAUUUUUAUAUUUCUAAAGUUAAAAAAAAUAAUCCAUAAUCACAUUUUUAUAGAUAUAUAAUUUUUAAUUUGUAUUUAAUUUUAUUUUUUUAAAUACCCGAAUUAGACCCGAACCCGAACCGAAACCCGACGAAUCGGAUCUGGAUCUUCAUUUUUUAGACCCGGACCCGAACCCGACCCGACCCGAAAUAUAAUGGAUCGGGUCUGGAUCUCAAGAAACCCGACCCGAUCCGACCCGUUGCCAUCCCUAUUUCAUGUCCUUGCCCUUAACCAACAGCCCUUUGGUAUGAAAGAUUUCACUACACUAUUAAAUCUGAAAGAUUUUUGCUAGCAUAGAAACAUGAAUAUAUUUUGUUUGUUGCGAGGGCAGCAGCAAGAACAAAGGCCAUUAUUGUGGAAUAUGAUGAACAAUAAAGAAAGGAAAUGCAGAUAAACAAAGAGGCAAUGAUGAUGAAUAUUUCAACAUUUAUUAUUUGUUUCUGAGUGAAAUUGGGCAUAGAGUGAAAGUGAGCCGUAUCUUGGCGUGGCAAUCAGGUGGUUGCAGCCAUGGCGGUGGCGCCCUCUUUGCCUCAUAUUUUGCAGAUCUGAGCCUCAUUUUUCCCCUGCAUAUUAGAAUUUAGAAUUAUAAUUUGUUGUGUGCUAAAAUUUGGAGACAGAAAUAUGUGAUCACUAAAAGUAUUUUAAAUAAUUUUGAUUUAUUUGAAAUUUCUAAUAAAUUUUUGAUUAAUUUUAAAAAUAUUUUAUCAUUUUAUCGAUUAUAUUCUAAAAAGAAAUCUUUAAUUUAUUGAUAAUAUUUUUGAUAUGCUCUAAUUUCUAAUAUAUUUUGAAUCUGUAUUGAUUUCAAUUUCCAAUUUCUUUUAAGAUAAAUCCAAUUUAAAUUUCUUAAUUCAUUGCAACACAAAAAUUGCACAGGAAUAUGCACAUAUGUGAGUGUUAGAAGAACAAGAAAAUGAUGAAAUUAUAAUUGACACGAGGCUGUGAUGAUGUGUUGAUCUUUCUCAGGUAUGGGUAUCGUGUCAAUUUGACCCGUUUCUUGGCUGGGCAACCCGGAUAGCUAUAGAAUCUUAUUUUAUCUUGAGCUACUGAUUGACGGAGGUUGUGCACUUGAUGAGUUGUGUAGCUGAUGAGGUUGUAGUUUAGUGACGAAAGUUGAGAUCUUGUGUUUAAUAGAACAAGCUUUGCGAAUGAUCCAUUAUAAAGAUAUGUCAGAAGAGAUAUCGCCAGAUUUGGGAAGGAACACAAGACAAGCCCUCGGGAGCAUAAUUUACAAUAUGAAGUCAUACUACCAUUAGUUAGUUGCUGCUGAACAGGAUUUCCCUCACCUAUUCUGCAGGCAUUGCCUAAGCCCAUUCACACACUACAACUACAAGGAAAAACACGAAUAUGGUCCAGGCAUUAUCUCUAUACUGAGUUUCACCUGAAUCGCCAUGUGGAGGAUUAAGCUUAGUUCUUUGGACGUGCUAACCACAAGGAACUCAGGGCUCGGAGACGUGACAUGUAAUCGCUGAUAACAAGCAGCGCACGAGCUGCUUGGCGAGUUGUUAAAAUUCUAUGCAAUUGUUGCAAAGUUUGCUGCCUCAGAAGGUCCGCCUGAUACAAGAAACAUAUAGUUUAGAAUCAGAAGAAUUAUCAGGUGCACAGGUUGAUAUAUACAGUUGGACACACCACCUGAUAAAGGAAAUUCUCUAGCGUAGAAAGUUUGCCCAUCGCAAUCGCCAUGUGGCCCAUAUAAUCAGCCACAUUCCCAGAACCAGUAGGCCCCAGUGAAUUUGAAGAGAGCGUCUCCACAAGGGAUUGCUGCAGAGCUUCCAUUCCUUGUGACAAGGCAUCCUCGGCCUGCUGAGAGGAUUGCUGGAGGUUGCAUAUGCCCAUCAACUGUUGAUCUGUCAGAGGUUCAAGUUGGUUGCCUAGAAUCUGAAGUACGAGUGAUGAUUUAAAAAUCUUGAUGAACAGAAAAUUGAGUCGAUCCUAUUCACGUAGCAAUAUGUACAAGUUUAUAGUUAAUUGAUCACCUUCAGAAGCUCUGAUGAGCGAAAUCCACCUAACCACAUAAAACACCGUUCAGCUGGAGUCUUCCACAUACCAGAGAGCAUGUGAAACACAUCAGACUUUGCAGCUACACCCUUUAGCCUAAAUAUUUCAUCAUAAUGUGACAUUAUCCCAUCUACAAGAACACGCAGUUCAGCAUCCCCUAAAUGAGAAUUCAUUACUGAUCUCAAUUCAUUGACCAGUCGCUGAUGUUCUUCUAACCAGCGGGCAUAGUCCAUGUCAAAUGCCAUGGCAACUGCAAAUAAUAAUCAUACCACAAAAUGCGAAGAUCAGAGUGGUCCGCGUCAUGAUCACCAAAAACCAUUGCUCAAAGUUUUAGGACAUUGACUGGGAGACCACCAGCAUAUUUAAAUUAUCAAAAGUAUUUUUUAUUGUACAACGGGGAUCUAGUGUAUAAAUGAUAUUUUUACAUA
Daucus carota subsp. sativus is the source of this 2668-nucleotide long non-coding RNA. RefSeq lists it as uncharacterized. The transcript is spliced from 2 exons. The record is from RefSeq and is a predicted model, not a curated record. NCBI's taxonomy places the organism in Eukaryota, Viridiplantae, Streptophyta, Magnoliopsida, Apiales, Apiaceae.